GCAGCCGCGGUAAUACGUAGGGGGCGAGCGUUGUCCGGAAUGAUUGGGCGUAAAGGGCGUGUAGGCGGUCUUGUAAGUCUGAAGUGAAAGUCCUGUUUUCAAGAUGGGAAUUGCUUUGGAUACUGCAAGACUUGAGUGCAGGAGAGGUUAUCGGAAUUCCCGGUGUAGCGGUGAAAUGCGUAGAGAUCGGGAGGAACACCAGUGGCGAAGGCGGGUAACUGGACUGCAACUGACGCUGAGGCGCGAAAGUGUGGGGAGCAAACAGGAUUAGAUACCCC
This 278-nucleotide ribosomal RNA is filed under the name uncultured Marvinbryantia sp. RNAcentral describes it as "partial 16S ribosomal RNA". It matches the Rfam family "Bacterial small subunit ribosomal RNA", at positions 511 to 788 of the family's 1533-position model. Lineage: Bacteria; Bacillati; Bacillota; Clostridia; Lachnospirales; Lachnospiraceae. The record is from RNAcentral.